Molecule: RNA transcript, 1945 nt
Organism: Triticum dicoccoides
Lineage: Eukaryota; Viridiplantae; Streptophyta; Magnoliopsida; Poales; Poaceae
Exons: 3
Source: RefSeq, a predicted model, not a curated record
UAUGCCAUAUUGACAGAGAUAGUCGAGCUGCAAUAUUUAGAUGGAAGGCGUGUGACAUUAUUUCGUUGCAGCUAGAUUGACGUAUUUAACAAAGAGCAUGGAAUGAAGUAAGACAACAAGAAUGGAAUCGUUAGGCUUAACCUGCAGUGUUUGCUUUAGAUAGAUGAGCCUUUCAUUCUGGAUAGCAAAGUUUUUUUUAAAAAAUAUUAUUAAGGACAAACUUAUAAAAGGAUGGCACACAAUUGUGAAAAAAUCCAUCACGUCAUGCUUAUAAUGUACCACAUGGACAUUCCGAUGUUAUACCCUCUGAACCUGAACCUGGCAAUAGUGACAAAGACGACUUCUUUCAAAAAUUAACAACAACGUCAUGUAGAAAGAGAACAACAUGAGGCCACUAGUUUAUUCAAGUCUUAAUCUGUAGUAUUUGAUUUGCUUCUUAUAUUAGCUUUUACCUUAUUAAUAAAUAGUGACACAAGUAGUUCUGUACUUACUUUAUUUGAUUUAGCAUUCACUUAUUUAACUUAAAUUGUACUUUGUAUAGCCUUUGUGCACACUUCAACCAAACGCUAUAUAUAUAGACACACACACACACAUGUUAUCACAGUGAGUCAUCAUAGGUAUGGAAACUUGACAACAUUAGCUUGGGAAAGAUGCUUUCACAGAUGAAUAAGUCUGGACUGGUACACAAAGGCAUUGCUAGGCGGACCUUCAUGGAGAAAUCAAGUCAAUUAGCAGAUUUCAGCAGAAAAGGGUUACCCACAGGCUCAAAUGCAAGAUGCGGAACUGUGAAAAAAAUACAAGUUAGCUACAAAAGAUGGAAACGAUGCGCUAACAAAUACACCAAUCUUGUUUAGUACAAAUUGGGAUGCAGGUGAUUCCAAAAGUGAGUUUCUAUGAAUGAUCAAGUUGAUGCGAGCAAUGAAAGUGACAUGGGAAAUUCAAUGGAUGAAUUUUAUGGUAUGUAAAAUGUAUUUAUUUCAUCUUUAAUUCAUCUACUGUGUUGGCCGAUUGGUUGUAUAUUUUCAAACACUACAAAUGGUGUAGAUGAAUUAAUAGGUAAUAAAAAUGUAGAAAGUGAAGAAGUGUAGGGCAACCAUGGCCUUGCAAGGAGUUUUUGGUCAGUUUCAUGUUGCCUCUUUAUUUGAUCUAGUAGUAAACCUUCUGGAUAGAUAAUUUGGGAAUUGGUACACAAUUUAACUUCUGUUGUUUUUAUUCCAAUAAUAUAAGAUCAGUAUGGAUAGUCUAUUUUCUAAGACACACAAGAAGGGUACAACCUUUGUUGAUUGUACAACCUCCGCCAAACACGUAAGACUUAAUUUAACUGUAAUAACUUCAAUAAUGAACAACAAGUGUAUAAUUCCUACUUAGAGAUAGAAGUAACUUACUGUUGGCGCUCCAACAACAAGUGUACAAUUCCUACUUAGAGAUAGAAGUAACUUACUGUUGGUGCUCCAGACACAAACUAAGACCAUAGUUUAACUCGAAGAAAAGUUCAAUGGCAUGGUGUAAGAAGUUUCUGAAAUUAAGCGACUUGUGUCGGGUAGUUCUCUAAGUGAUAGUUCUCAUGAAAGCCAACAUGAUCAAGUAAGUUGUUAUUAUACAUUGAUUUUAUAUGUUAUUACACUUUGUGCCAAUUUAUUCACAUGGGCUGACUUCCAUAAACUACUCAACAUUUUGUAGGAUUGAUGGUCCACCGUGAUAUAUAGAAGUAUCAAGUAUCAGGAGGCAGUGUAAGAGCUGAUGAAGAAUGGUAUCCAUUCGAACAAUGAUGGCGUCCCUCGAUUGAAGAUAAAUAAAUAUUAUAUUUUCUAGUUGUCUCGUUUUCCAAAUAGAUAUGAUCAAGUCCAUUGGUCAUAUAAGGAUUGCUUUUGACUCAAAUUUCUGAAAUGAUAUUUUUUCAGAAUUGUAUGUCGGAAUAUUGGUAUUUCUAUCUAUUAAUGAAAGA